RNAcentral lists this ribosomal RNA (500 nucleotides) under uncultured bacterium. RNAcentral describes it as "partial 16S ribosomal RNA". It matches the Rfam family "Bacterial small subunit ribosomal RNA", at positions 29 to 507 of the family's 1533-position model. The record is from RNAcentral.
ACGAACGCUGGCGGCGUGCUUAACACAUGCAAGUCGAACGGUGAAGGGGUCUGCUUUUGUGGGCCCUGGAUGAGUGGCGAACGGGUGAGUAACAGGGGGUAACCUGCCCCCCUCCUUUGGGUUACCGGCUGGAAGUGGUGGCUAUACGGGGUUUUCUGGGGUUGUCGCAUGAUGGGUCUGGGGAAGGUUGCGGCUUUGGGGGUUUUUUGUGGGGGAUGGGCUCGCGGCCUAUCAGCUUGUUGGUGGGGUGAUGGCCUACCAAGGCGGGGACGGGUAGCCGGCCUGAGAGGGUGGACGGUCACACUGGGACUGAGACACGGCCCAGACUCCUACGGGAGGCAGCAGUGGGGAAUAUUGCACAAUGGGCGCAAGCCUGAUGCAGCGACGCCGCGUGAGGGAUGGAGGCCUUCGGGUUGUAAACCUCUUUCGCCAGUGAAGCAGGCCUGCUCCUUGUGGGUGGGUUGACGGCAGCUGGAGAAGAAGCGCCGGCUAACUACGUG